UGGCCCCAAAGUGCGGGGUGAAUGCGGUGGUUUUUGUCUUUGGCAAAAUAUAGCGGGAAAGGGGCCUUUCCUUAGGUCCCUUGGUAGUGAGGGCAUUAGUUGGGGAAUUUACCAUCAGUUCAUCACCGCAGGGCGGGAUUUUAGCCGGGGUUGGCUGGACCAAAAGUCAAAUUCCCCGCACUACUAUUUUUUUCAGGAAUAAGUUGGAACCAAGAUGAACAGAGAAAGUGAGUUAGCGAGGCAGUUGCAAGAAUGGACGACACAAUAAAUGAACUUCAACUUACAGUCGUCCCACUCAGCAGCAUUUAUCCAGUGAAGUUGAGAGCCUUGUAAAGGACCAGGAUCCGCAAUAUGGCAAUGUGUGACACAACAUGUAACAUCCACAGACUGAGAGUACAUUAUUACAGCCUGCAUAUGGACGCUGGUGAUAUUAAGACAGGCAAACAUCAAUGCAGACAUUGAAGAUGGAGCUGUUAAUCAAAUGCAUGCAGGAUGGAUAGACUAGUCGCAUGAUUACCCUGGACAAUUUUUUUGUUUGAGACAGUAAAUGGCAACCUGGCAUUGUGUCCUCAUAGAGACUAUGCACACUGAAAAUAGUUAAAGUUAAGAGUGAAGGUACCAUCAGGUUUUCAACAGCAAGCGCCAUAAGGUCACCCUCCCUGACUGCGUUACGGUUUGUGUGAAAUCUACUGAUGCCCUGGCACAGUAUCUGAAAUAUGUGCGGUGUCUCCACAACAGAUCUGAUGGUGUGGUGCAUUGAAAAUAUCAUAGCAGUGUAACUGGUAAACAGAGGUUCAAGUAUGAUGGUGGAGAAGUGAGGGAUCUGGCCAAAAAGCCGUCCGUUUACAAGAAUGUACAUCUGGUAUUGCAGAUAUUUGGACAACUGAAGGCCAGAUUGGAUGGCAUAUGUUAAAGCCAGCUGUAUGCCCGCAAGGAACAGUAAAACGUACACUUUCCAGCCAUCCUGUGACACUUGAUCAACCAGACGGCUUCCACAUCUAUCCAGUGGGCAUGUGAGUUGACACUACGGUGGCCGCUCAACCAUGACACAAUUGAUCAAUCACAGCUAGAGUUCAGCCGAUGUUCACGAAACAGAGAAAGGGAAUGGUCUACUUUAGAGGUCACGUUGCUUACCAUUUUAAGCAAACACCACAGAAAGGUACUGACACGGAGACAAUUGCUGAUGUAAUAAGCUACACGAGCAGUGCCUACAGUACAGGAAGAAGACUAUGAUGAAAAGCAUUCUCUUUGGUGGCGCUGAACUGACAUGUGGAAAAAUAUGAGAGCACAGAUGGCCAGACAGGAUGGGGACAUACCAGAAGAGAGAUUAGUAAAUCUCACUGGAGGCUGUUGGAAGAACCCAGAAUGUGACUAAUGGAAUGAUUCAACACACAUGUAAAAGUGAUGAUGAAGAAAGUGUGGUCAAGUCAUUCUGUGAGCAUGGUUGAUAAAACAGGGAAUACUAUCACAUUGACCAAGUUCACUCAAAACCAAGGAAAAGAACUCCAAGUUACACUUCAACUAUUUUAGGCUUAAACUAAUUUAGACCUUUGGAUGCACAAAAGCUGCAUAUAAAGCUGCAUAUAUGUUACAGAACCCCUUAAGAAAAUUUAAUUGAAUAAGAUACCUAUUGAAACAAGUUAUUAUAUUGACAAAAAAGAAAGAAACUAAAGAAAAUGCCAUCUUUUUUAUAUCUUAGAAGUAAAAAACAAGUGUUGCUGGGUUUCAUUCAAGAUGCACUCUUGCUCCCAAAUAAGAUUUACCAUAAUUAAUAGUAUUGUUUUAAUGUUCCAAAAAGGAGAAAUUAAUGUGAACAACAAUGGUUCUUAUGAAGGAAACUGAGUUUAAUUUGAAAGAAAUAAGCAUAAAACACAGUAUAUCUACCUUAUGAGACUAUAGUAGACCACAGUAAAUCUUUUAUCAUUCACCAAUCAUUUAAUAUUUUUUGUGCUUCCUGCUAUUAAAUAGACGGUUACAAUCUUGCUAUCAGUAAUUAAUAUUUUCAAUAAAUGCAUUAUUGAGUGAAGUAGUUAAAGGUUUAUCAGUCAAAAUUGAUGUUUGUUAUAUAUGUGUAUGUAUUGAUUUUGAAUAAGAGUGUCAUUUUAAUUGUUUGAAUUGUCACUUUUUUCAAGAUAUUAGAAGUAACCAUUCAUCACAUUAUUUUGUAAUUUACCAAGGCUCUUACACCUUAAACAACUCAUGAAUGGUAAUGAUCAAUUAAAAUCCAUUGGAACUCUGCCUCUUUUGUACAACAAAAUUUAUUCAUUCAUUCUCAUUCAUGUACAAUCAACAAAUAUUCUAUGUAAUAAUGUUUUACUGGUUUUAUACACACUAUUUGGUGACGUUCAUACCAUUAUUGCUAAUGAGAACCUUAAAAUUAUACCAUACUUUUGCAUAAAGUCUAACUAAAACAUUUAAAUGACAUAGGCAGUAGUUUACAGGGCUUCCAUUAAGAAUUUGAAACUGAAAGUAUGAACUUCCUGACCAUCAAUAUUGGAAGUUUUACAUUGAAAUUUGGAAGUUACAGUUUCCCUUAAUACAAUUUUUUCCAGUAUUUUUAAAUAGUAUGUUAAAAAUCAAAUAAUUUGAAAUUAUAUCUUCCAGAUUCACAGAUUAAUGUUAUAAUAAUUCAUUUUACUUCAAGACUGAUUGAAUGUGUGACCAUAUAAGUAAUAUUGACACAAGGUUUUGAUAUUUUGAACUUCCAAUCGUUUGGCUUUGGAAGUUUUCUUCAAAAUUAUGGAAGUUUUUGUACUUCCAAGAAAUUAGGUUUGGAAGUUUUAACCCAUUUUUAGGGAGUAGUAUACUUCCAAACUUCCUUUAAAGGAAGCCCUGAGUUUAUAUAUUUAUUGAUAAGAUGGUUACAAAAACAUGUUGUUAAUGAUGUAUUUGGGAUAUUGUUUACUUAAUACACCUGUAAGUCAAAGUCACACUAUGUCACACUAGUUUUUCCUUAGACGUCAUACUGUGUUUUAAACUUUGCAUAUGUUAGACUGUAAUUAAAACAUUUAUAAAUAGUCUUUCAAUAAUAACUGUGUCUACAACUGCAUAACAAAGUAUAUUUGUAUUUUAAUUCCAAAAUUGUAAUUUUCAUGUCAUUAUUACAUGUUCUCACUACAUUAGCUCAUACAUGUUUUAUAUAUUGAAUUGUGGCCGAUUAUGUAGCCGGUUUGUUUAUCUUUCUUUUAUUACAAGGGCAUAACAUCAUUUUUAUAACUUGCGCUCUUAUAUUGAAACAAAGGCACACAUGCAGUUAACAUGCAGUAGAGAGUAAAUUAUUCUUGUUUUUCACAUCCUUGAGAGUAAUAUAUAUAUGCAUUUUGAAUUAUUAAAUUACUCUUUUUGUCAGAAAAUAUGACAAUAUGAUGGUGUUCAAAAGGCUGUAUUGUAUGGUCAAUACAAGUUACUACCAGUAUACUGUUAAACCUGUUAAGUGUACAUAAAUUAUAUAUGAUAGAUGUUGAUUAAUUGCAUUUGUAUUUAGUCAGA
Molecule: long non-coding RNA, 3489 nt
Organism: Mya arenaria
Lineage: Eukaryota; Metazoa; Mollusca; Bivalvia; Myida; Myidae
Exons: 11
Source: RefSeq, a predicted model, not a curated record